AAACUAAGUAAACUUAACAGAAUGCAAUUUCUAUCACAUAUAUAAAGAAGAAAAUGAUAAUUUAACUAAUUUUUAACAGAUUUACAUGAUGAUAACACUAAUAUAACAUUCAUCUUGAAAUAAAAUCAGAUCUAACAUGUUCCAUCAACCAAACCGGGAUCAAAUCUUUCUUAUUAUCAUCAAGAAUCUGCAACAUAAGAAUUUGAAAGUUACCUGGUUUGUAGAAUAAUAAAAUACAGCAGUGCAGCAACAAAAAAUUCAGCAGCAAAUACAGUAAAAACAGCAACAACUCAAGUGUUAAGGCAACCCAGAAAACUCAACAAAGAUGCUUGAAACUGGUAGCUAUCAACUUCACAAAUUGCCUAAGGGAUCUUUCUAUUUUUCUCAAAGUUUUUGCACUCAAAUAAUACUCACAAAGCUCUGAAAUUUCAGCUUGCUAUAUGUAUUAAGCUGCUGAUUUUUCUUAAAGAUAUAUGUCUUUAAGCAACUCUCCAAGAUGUGUGUAAGUGUAAAAUCGAGUGUGAGCCCUUUUAUAGGAGAAGAGCAGCCCUUUAAAUAGGCAAAUAAAGUCAGAUUUUUUGGACAAAUUUUGGUUCACUAAAAGUCUGACUUUGUGUGCUAAACACUGUUCAAAAGCUGUAAAAAAAAUAUUGUAUUUGUCACCAUAUAAUGACUUUUGAGUUUUGUACUCUAAAGUUUUUGCACAGUAAAAACAACCAAACUUGUACUAUUCCUUCUUUAAUUUUAGCUUUUAUCAACAUAAAAUUCAAAUACUCAAAUCCAAUAUAAAUAAAUUCACUAAGCGCUUGAAACUUUUAUUAUCAACUAUCAUGACUAAGCGAAUAGCUAUUUCAAAGCUAAUAAAUAACUAAUUAUCAGUGAUUAAUAACUAUGAACGACUAAGCUAAUAUAGAUUAAACACAACUAAUAAUAAAAAUAUAAAUAAUAAUAACAAAAAUAAAAACAAAAAUCAUAAAUUAUGCUGGACAUAAACUAACCACAAUACAAUUAGUAAAAAUAGACAAAGGAAACGAGAAUAGGGGUAUACCAAACGAGGGCGUUCGUGGUGGUCGCCGGAAUUGGCCGGAUUUUUGGUUGCCGGUUUUUCGGGAUGGAAUUGACAUCAAUAGGUAGGUCUUGAGGGGCUCUAUCCGUUGAUGUAGGUAUUGUGGGGUGGUAGUGGCCGGAACUUCAAGAAUUUGGGCAAAAAAAUGACGGCUAAAGUUUCCUAGAUCUAAAAUUCAAGGAGUUUGAGGGGUUUUUAAAGGAUUUAGUUUGGAGAUAUAGAAAGAUGAGGUUGUGGAGAUUACAACGUGUGAAUUUGGGCUCAUUUGGAGGUUGGCUGCCGCCGGUGGGCGAUUUUCAGUGGGCGACAGCAGUGGUGGGGGAGGAUAUGGGAGAUAGAAGAGAGAGAGAGAAGAGAGAGGAAGAAGAAAAGAAUUAUGGGGAAAUGAGGGCAUUUU
Molecule: long non-coding RNA, 1463 nt
Filed under: Nicotiana tabacum (common tobacco)
Lineage: Eukaryota; Viridiplantae; Streptophyta; Magnoliopsida; Solanales; Solanaceae
Description: long non-coding RNA (NTAB_LNC011969)
Source: RNAcentral